This 1759-nucleotide long non-coding RNA is filed under the name Homo sapiens (human). RNAcentral's name for it is "non-protein coding lnc-GPR27-10:1". The record is from RNAcentral. Lineage: Eukaryota; Metazoa; Chordata; Mammalia; Primates; Hominidae.
UUUGCCAUCAGUGACAGUUGAAGGAGAGCGGGGUGGGAGGUGGUGUUUUCAACCCCCUUUCUCCCUCUCUCCCGUCCUCCCUCGGUCUCUCCUCUUUCUUUCUGCACUUUGUCCAAUGAAAGAAGGCGAGUUCGGGAGGUGAAAGUUCAGCAGAAGGACAAACCCCUGUUUGCAAGGAAACAGAAACCCCGCCAGCCAGCGAGGGGUUUUCUCCCCUGUUUCUCGGAAUCAGGAGAGUGUGAAUGUGGGACGAGCUUCUGCCCCCUUGUCAGAGCCACUGCAGGAAUGUGCAAUCGAGUCCACUUUGGGGGAAGGUGGCUGCAUCAGGAACUGUGUUCUUGCCACGACUCCUCUUAGGAAAACGCCUGGGGGCUAGCAUGUCAGUCCGUUGUUUAACACAAAUUACCUGCUCUCCCAGUGAUCAGUCACGUGCAAAAAGCUUUGUCCAAUUCUUUGAAAAGGUGAGAUUUUUUUUUUUCUUUUUGCGGUUUUUGAAGUUUGGUUGAAUUUAGAAAUUCGAAGGAAUAAACUAAGAGCCUGAAUUAAAUGUUUUGAAAUAUACAUACAUAAAACAAAAGACACUAGUAUUUCUUUCACUUUUAUCAAUACGCAUAGAGAAGGAAGCAGAGUAUGUGUUUCCAAAACGUGACUUGGAAAGCUGUAAGACCUCUAUGUCUUGUUGUUGUUGUUGUUGUUGUUGUUAACAGAAGUAAAUUUUUUCAGACCCACCACCACAGAAGUGGCCAGACUCCCAAACCAGCAUUUCCAGCUACUGGCUGGCUGGUGUACACCAGGCCAAUUCUUUAUGAGAAUAUAUUAAAAGUCACCCCUGUGGAUUCCUACAAAGUACUUCCCCUUGCGGGGAGGGGAGAGGCUUACUGUCCCUUUGGUCUUGAGACCAGCACAGUUGUAGAUAAUAUCCUGAAAAGGUUAUUAUUAAAUUCUUUCGCGUAAUGCCCCUUUACAAAUAUUGUUAAACAUUAAUUUACAGAAGAACUUAAAUCUUAAUUUCAAGGGUGGCAUAAGACUAUCGCUUUGAAAUUGUAUCUUUCGCAAGUUAAAAAAAAAAAAUAACAAAGCCAUUCGCUGAUGCUACAGAAUAAAAGAAAGGGAGGCUGCUAAGGUAAUUUCAGCCUGGUAGAAUUCACAUUGCAUGCAUGCUGCAUAAAGUUCCAUGCUAUCCAGAUAAGACUAUUCACUGAAUCUUUUAGACUAGAAUCUAGACCAAUAAAAUGCAUUUUAGUUUGUAUGGAAUGUCCUAGCUUCCUAGAGGCUAGGGUUCGACGUCUUGUUUGUCAAGACAUAAAGGGAUUAAUGACAUACCCACUGUGUGCUAGACCACAGAGUGGGCACAGAGGGAUGAAAAAAUAAAAAUUCCUGCCCUUGAGGAGCUCACAGUCUAAGCUGUCAAUAAUAACAUCUAACAUUUAUUAAAUACUAUGAUCUAGGCACUGAACUAAAAGCUUUAUGUCAACUCAGUUAAUACUGCCAACAACUCUUUGACAUCACUGGAAAUUCCAUAUGCUGAAUUCACACGGAAUUAAGUGGAAAUCUACAAAGUAGCCAGUCUACUGGUUCUGUAGUGGUCAACCUAUUAAAAAUGGUUUUUAAUUUCUAAAGUACUUUAUGCCAAAUAUAACAUGUUUAUGGUAUAUGCCUGACUGUAGAAUUAUAACUCAGGGGAAUAACGACUUAUUUAAAUGUAACAGAUCUAUUCAUAGUCUGUAAAGAACAAUUCAUCCUCUGAUCUUGUUUUUCA